GGAUGAAAAGCAGCGCACCACAUCAGUGACAUCGCAGACUCUGGAGGAAUUGUACCUGUCUGACACAACAGCUGAGGUCGAAGUGGUGAAAGGCCAUAGACAGUACUUCAUCAGCUUCAAAGACAUGUACCAGAGGAACCCCAAACACAACACCAAGAGGAAAGUUCAUCGUCGCCCGCGCUUCGUGUCUGUAGCCGAGGUGCAGAACCAGGCCGCUCAGCAGAGAAACCUUGAACUGAUGUGGCCCUGGUCUGAACAGUCUGGAUCUGAUUGAGUGCCUUACCUUGAUAUACCUGGGAUUAUUUCUGUGUCAGAAUCAGCUUUAUUUCCAUGUGGUUUAAACAAACGAGGAACUUGCUUUGGUGUUUGGCAGCAGUUAGAAAAAUGUUAGAAAGGUAACCUUCGGUUCCCUCCGCCGACUUCCCUCCUUCACUGUGAAAACAGACGACUCUGUUACUGUAGACAGCGGCGUGUCAGUCAGUCCACCACUUUGGUUCAGACCAAAAUAUCUAAACUAAACUAUUGACUGGAUGGAAUAUUAUGAUAUGUGGUUCGGACGUUCAUGGUCCUCAGAGGAUGAAUCCUAAUCACAUGACUAUAUCUGGUGCCACCGACACCAACAAGAUACUCAAACCAAUUUCCAGAUUCUCGCUGUGCUAACAUUAGCAUCUUGUCUUAGCUAAAUUUGGCUAGCUUUAAUGGUCACAUGCAACAUAACAUGCUAAAACAUACUAGCAUAAUAACAUGCUAACUGCUUUUGUUUAUCUUUAGAGGACAGUGCACUCCAAUGUAAAUGUGCUGCAGGUAACAGCUAAUGUGCACUCAAGUCCCGACACAGCUAAAACAUUAAAGGCCCCGUGAGAGCCCGUAUAAAAGAAAUGGACGUAGCCGCCAUGACGUCCCACCGUUGGUUUGUGGACCACCGUUUUGAAGCCUCUAGUUCGGCAUUUUGGCAGUCGCCAUCUUGUUUUCGUGGAACCAGACAUGACCAUAUUUGGACAAGAGGGUGGAGCUAGCUAGCUUGGUUAGCUAGGUGCAUCUGCAAUUCAUGUUAAUUGUGAUAUUAGCUGGGAUGCUAAUUUUGGCUAGUGACAACCAGGCUUAAAACAAAACGUACUUCCUGGAAAAAUGACCAACGAUGAUGAAACUAGCGACUGAGAACAUAAACUCAUUAGGAAAGUGUUACCGAGGUAAUGAAUCAGCUGAGAAGUAGAAACAUUUUCUCAUAGACUUCUAUACAGCCGCCCCCUGCUGGCUGAUGGAGAGAAUGCAGGUUUAACUUACUUCAGCACUGGCUUCACUUUUUUAAACUCAGAGGUUCAUGCUUGCAAAAAAUGGUACUGUAACUCCACAUCUGUUAACCGCAAUGCAAACAUUAGCUAAUGUUAACAUGCUAAUGCUGCUAGCUAUUGUUUACAUACCUGUCGAGUCAGGUUUGUUCCGAGGCCGGACAUUGAGUUAUUAGCGUUGAGUCUGAAGGAGGUUAAACCUGCCAUUAAAAACAGACACGUUUAAAGAUGUUACUGUUUGCUUUUUAAAUGUGUGUAUUUAGUGGUUUAAGGACUGUUUUUCAUUCUGUGGGUGCGAUAAAGACUUUUCAUGUUGAUGUUUAUGUUCAUGACUAAGUUAGUUUAUGUUGAGGAUUUCUUUAUGUGGACUAACGCAGCAACAUUAAAUAACCAACCCUGACAAGCAGCACAUUCAGUCGGUCUCUUUGAGCGGUGGAUGUCUCUUACAUGUUUUUCAACAGCAGAAAUAUUUGUAUUGGAUCUGUCGCUCUCUUUGCAUCUGAAUAAACUUUCUGAGUAAGA
This is a long non-coding RNA of Micropterus dolomieu (smallmouth bass), 1811 nucleotides long. RefSeq lists it as uncharacterized. Lineage: Eukaryota; Metazoa; Chordata; Actinopteri; Centrarchiformes; Centrarchidae. The transcript has 2 exons. The record is from RefSeq and is a predicted model, not a curated record.